GUUCUCUAUAGGUUUAAUGCAAUGCCAAUCAAAAUCCCAACAGCAUUUCUUGUAGAAAUAGAGAAAGCAAUCAUGAAAUUCAUAUGGAAAAAUAAAAGACCCAGAAUAGCAAAAACAAUGCUAAGCAGGAAGUGUGAAUCAGGCGGUAUAGCGAUACCAGACUUCAAACUAUACUACAGAGCAAUAGUAACAAAAACAGCAUGGUACUGGUACCAAAACAGGCAGGUGGACCAAUGGUACAGAAUAGAGGACACAGAGACCAAUCCACAAAAUUACAACUUUCUUAUAUUUGAUAAAGGGGCUAAAAGCAUGCAAUGGAGGAAGGAUAGCAUCUUCAACAAAUGGUGCUGGGAAAACUGGAAAUCCAUAUGCAACAAAAUGAAACUGAAUCCCUUUCUCUCGCCAUGCACAAAAGUUAACUCAAAAUGGAUCAAAGAGCUUGAUAUCAAAUCAGAGACUCUGCACCUGAUAGAAGAAAAAGUUGGCUCCGAUCUACAUAUUGUGGGGUCGGGCUCCAAAUUCCUUAAUAGGACGCCCAUAGCCCAAGAGUUAAUAACAAGAAUAAACAAAUGGGACUUACUUAAACUAAAAAGUUUUUUCUCAGCAAGAGAAACAAUAAGAGAGGUAAAUAGGGAGCCUACAUCCUGGGAACAAAUUUUUACUCCUCACACUUCAGAUAGAGCCCUAAUAUCCAGAAUAUACAAAGAACUCAAAAAAUUAAACAAUAAGAUAACAAAUAACCCAAUCAACAAAUGGGCCAAGGACCUGAACAGACACUUUUCAGAGGAGGACAUACAAUCAAUCAACAAGCACAUGAAAAAAUGCUCACCAUCUCUAGCAGUCAGAGAAAUGCAAAUGAAAACCACCCUAAGAUACCAUCUCACUCCAUUAAGAUUGGCAGCCAUUAUGAAGUCAAACAACAAUAAGUGCUGGCGAGGAUGUGGGGAAAAGGGUACACUUAUACAUUGCUGGUGGGACUGCAAAUUGGUGCGGCCAGUUUGGAAAGCAGUAUGGAGAUUCCUGCGAAAGCUGGGAAUGGAACCACCAUUUGACCCCGCAAUCGCCCUUCUCGGACUAUUCCCUGAGGACCUUAAAAGAGCGUACUAUAGGGAUACUGCCACAUCAAUAAUCAUAGCAGCACAAUUCACAAUAGCAAGACUGUGGAACCAACCUAGAUGCCCUUCAAUAGAUGAAUGGAUAAAAAAAAUGUGGCAUUUAUACACAAUGGAGUAUUAUGCAUCACUAAAAAAUGACAAAAUCAUGGAAUUUGCAGGGAAAUGGAUGGCAUUAGAGCAGAUUAUGCUAAGUGAAGCUAGCCAAUCCUUAAAAAAAAUGUCAAAUGUCUUCUUUGAUAUAAUGAGAGCAACUAAGAACAGAGCAGGGAGGAAGAGCAUGAGGAAAAGAUUAACAUUAAACAGAGACGAGUGGUCGGAGGGAAAGGGAGAGAAAAGGGAAAUUGUAUGGAUAUGGAAGGAGACCCUCACUGUUACACAAAAUUACAUAUAAGAGGUUGUGAGGGGAAAGGGUGGGGGGAAACAAGGGAGAGAAUUGAACACCAGUAGAUGGGGUAGAGAGGGAAG
This 1580-nucleotide long non-coding RNA is filed under the name Marmota monax (woodchuck). Lineage: Eukaryota; Metazoa; Chordata; Mammalia; Rodentia; Sciuridae. The record is from RNAcentral.